RNAcentral lists this long non-coding RNA (229 nucleotides) under Homo sapiens (human). Its description in RNAcentral is "lncAB614.1". The record is from RNAcentral. Lineage: Eukaryota; Metazoa; Chordata; Mammalia; Primates; Hominidae.
GCAGAGGACCCUGCGGCCUUCCGCAGUGUUUGUGUCCCUGGGUACUUGAGAUUAGGGAGUGGUGAUGACUCUUAACGAGCAUGCUGCCUUCAAGCAUCUGUUUAACAAAGCACAUCUUGCACCGCCCUUAAUCCAUUUAACCCUGAGUGGACACAGCACAUGUUUCAGAGAGCACAGGGUUGGGGGUAAGGUCACAGAUCAAGAGGAUCCCAAGGCAGAAGAAUUUUUC